RNAcentral lists this ribosomal RNA (363 nucleotides) under Triticum aestivum (bread wheat). RNAcentral describes it as "partial small subunit ribosomal RNA". The record is from RNAcentral. Lineage: Eukaryota; Viridiplantae; Streptophyta; Magnoliopsida; Poales; Poaceae.
AUGGCGGCCAACCACCACCUCCGCCGCCUCGCCUCCGCGUCGGCCCCCGCUCUCUCCCGCCUCUCCAAGCCCCCUCCCUCGCCGCUCCUCCGCCCCGCGUUCUCCAGCUCCGCCUCCCCCGCGGAUCAGCCGGCGGCGGCGGCGGGCGCCGCUGCAGCCGAGAAGGGGGAGGCCCAGAGCGCCGUGAAGGAGGCGGACGAGGCGCAGGGCGGUGGUGCUGGCGCGCGGAAGGCGGGGGAGGAGGAGGAUGAUGACGGCGGCCUGGACAUAAACGAGGCAACUGGCGAGAUCGGCGGCCCGCAUGGGCCCGAGCCCACCCGGUACGGCGACUGGGAGCGCGGCGGCCGCUGCUCUGACUUCUGA